RNAcentral lists this small nucleolar RNA (216 nucleotides) under Cottoperca gobio. RNAcentral describes it as "Small nucleolar RNA U3 (ENSCGOG00000000782.1)". It matches the Rfam family "Small nucleolar RNA U3". From Rfam's summary of the family: Small nucleolar RNAs (snoRNAs) are involved in the processing and modification of rRNA in the nucleolus. There are two main classes of snoRNAs: the box C/D class, and the box H/ACA class. Lineage: Eukaryota; Metazoa; Chordata; Actinopteri; Perciformes; Bovichtidae. The record is from Rfam by way of RNAcentral.
AAGACUAUACUUUCAGGGAUCAUUUCUAUAGUUUCUGACUUGAGAAAUGUGUUUCUAAAGUGAUUAGUCUCGCUAACCACGAUGAUGAGUCGUGAUAUUCCCUUCUGAGCGUGAAGCGGGCACAGAGUAAUGAUUCAGUUCAUAUGCUCUCUGUCAUUGAGGAUCGUUCUUUGUUUCUUUAUGGAGCUUUGAGGAAGGGAAUAUGAUCAGAGUGGC